This is a non-coding RNA of Acanthosepion pharaonis, 98 nucleotides long. Lineage: Eukaryota; Metazoa; Mollusca; Cephalopoda; Sepiida; Sepiidae. The record is from the annotation of a GenBank genome assembly.
UUUGAAAUACCGGCUCCCGUACGAUCACCGAUGUUAAGCAACGUUGAUCCUGGUCAGUACCUAGAUGGGUAACCGCUUGGCAAUACCAAGUGCUGUAA